RNAcentral lists this ribosomal RNA (444 nucleotides) under uncultured bacterium. RNAcentral describes it as "SSU rRNA". It matches the Rfam family "Bacterial small subunit ribosomal RNA", at positions 26 to 518 of the family's 1533-position model. The record is from RNAcentral.
AGAACGAACGCUGGCGGCAGGCUUAACACAUGCAAGUCGAGCGCCUCGCAAGAGGAGCGGCAGACGGGUGAGUAACACGUGGGAACGUGCCCAAAGGUACGGAACAACUCCGGGAAACUGGAGCUAAUACCGUAUGUGCCCGAAAGGGGAAAGAUUUAUCGCCUUUGGAUCGGCCCGCGUCUGAUUAGCUAGUUGGCGGGGUAAUGGCCCACCAAGGCGACGAUCAGUAGCUGGUCUGAGAGGAUGACCAGCCACAUUGGGACUGAGACACGGCCCAAACUCCUACGGGAGGCAGCAGUGGGGAAUAUUGGACAAUGGGCGCAAGCCUGAUCCAGCCAUGCCGCGUGAGUGAUGAAGGCCUUAGGGUUGUAAAGCUCUUUCGCCGAGGACGAUAAUGACGGUACUCGGAUAAGAAGCCCCGGCUAACUUCGUGCCAGCAGCCGC